GGGGCCGUGGCUCAGUGGUAGAACGUUUGCUUGGCAAGCAGAAGAUUCCUGGUUCAAUCCUCAGCAUCCCCU
RNAcentral lists this transfer RNA (72 nucleotides) under Sphaerodactylus townsendi. RNAcentral describes it as "tRNA-Ala". It matches the Rfam family "tRNA". From Rfam's summary of the family: Transfer RNA (tRNA) molecules are approximately 80 nucleotides in length. Their secondary structure includes four short double-helical elements and three loops (D, anti-codon, and T loops). Lineage: Eukaryota; Metazoa; Chordata; Lepidosauria; Squamata; Sphaerodactylidae. The record is from RNAcentral.